RNAcentral lists this long non-coding RNA (783 nucleotides) under Mustela putorius furo (domestic ferret). RNAcentral's name for it is "lncRNA (ENSMPUG00000025722.1)". The record is from RNAcentral. Lineage: Eukaryota; Metazoa; Chordata; Mammalia; Carnivora; Mustelidae.
UUAUGUGAUUUCAUUUCUUCUUCUUUCUUUCCUUUUUUUUUUUUUUUUUAGGAAGGCUCCAUGCAUGGAGCCCAAUGUGAGGCUCAGACUCAUGACCCUGAGGUCAAGACCUAUGCUGAGUAUCAGGAAUCAGGCACUUAACUGACUAAGCCACCCAGGUGCUCCAUGAUUUCAUUCCUAUGAAAUAAUCUGAAGAGGAAAAUCUGGAGACUAUGGACCAGCCACAGGAGACUUCCCUUUUACAACAGAACCAACCACAGGAGAGUUCCCUUUUACAAGGGAGCCAACCACAGGAGACUUCCAGACCAAUUACCAAGGGAUGUUCUGAGAAUCCUACUGCUCUUCACUGUUGGUGGGGACCCACCCUCCCCACAACAGGAGGCACAAACGGCAAUCUGCUAUCACGUGGGAAGAAAGUAUGGUGUUAAAAGCAGGCAGAGAGAAAAGCCAGAGAGGACGAAGAUGGAAGGCAACCUCACUGAGGACUCUGCUGUCCCGCGGGGAGGCGCCCCCCCCCCCCCGUUCCGAAGGGCUUCCAGGGCCAUCAGCUGCCUGAGGUGGGGUGGAGGGCAAGCGCGUUACUGAGGUGUAGGCAGCUGGGGGUUUUGUUAAAGAUCUUUCUAUUGGGGCGCCUGGGUUGCUCAGUGGGUUAAGCCACUGCCUCCGGCUCAGGUCAUGAUCCCAGGGUCCUGGGAUCGAGUCUCGCAUCAGGCUCUCUGCUCAGCGAGGAGCCUGCUUCUUCCUCUCUCUCUCUGCCUGCCUCUCUGCCUACUUGUGAUCUCU